AGAGUUUGAUCAUGGCUCAGAACGAACGCUGGCGGCAUGCCUAACACAUGCAAGUCGAACGAGACCUUCGGGUCUAGUGGCGCACGGGUGCGUAACGCGUGGGAAUCUGCCCUGGGGUGCGGAAUAACUCGGAGAAAUCCGUGCUAAUACCGCAUAAUGUCUUCGGACCAAAGAUUUAUCGCCCUGGGAUGAGCCCGCGUAGGAUUAGCUAGUUGGUGGGGUAAAGGCCUACCAAGGCGACGAUCCUUAGCUGGUCUGAGAGGAUGAUCAGCCACACUGGGACUGAGACACGGCCCAGACUCCUACGGGAGGCAGCAGUGGGGAAUAUUGGACAAUGGGCGAAAGCCUGAUCCAGCAAUGCCGCGUGAGUGAUGAAGGCCCUAGGGUUGUAAAGCUCUUUUACCCGGGAUGAUAAUGACAGUACCGGGAGAAUAAGCUCCGGCUAACUCCGUG
RNAcentral lists this ribosomal RNA (453 nucleotides) under uncultured bacterium. Its description in RNAcentral is "bacterial SSU rRNA". It matches the Rfam family "Bacterial small subunit ribosomal RNA", at positions 8 to 507 of the family's 1533-position model. The record is from RNAcentral.